This 2136-nucleotide ribosomal RNA is filed under the name Podophrya fixa. RNAcentral describes it as "SSU rRNA". The stretch from base 1 to 1698 matches the Rfam family "Eukaryotic small subunit ribosomal RNA". The record is from RNAcentral. Lineage: Eukaryota; Ciliophora; Phyllopharyngea; Exogenida; Podophryidae.
AACCUGGUUGAUCCUGCCAGUCUACAAAGCUUGACUUGGAAAUUAAGCCAUGCAUGUCUGAGUAUAAGUUACACAAAGCGGAACUGCAAAUGGCUCAUUACAACAGUUGUAAUUUGUUUGAUGAUUUUCUUACAUGGAUAACCGUGGGAAACUAGGGCUAAUACAUGCGUAAAGCCGUCAGGCUGUAUUUAUUAGUUUCAAACCAAUGCGGGGCAACUCGCUUGUGAGGAAUCAAAAUAACUGAUCGAAGCCAAUCAUUUGGCUAAAUCAUUCGAGCUUCUGACCUAUCAGCUUGUUGUUAGUGUAUUGGACUAACAAGGCGGUAACAGGUAACGGAGAAUUGGGGUUCGAUUCCGGAGAGUCAGCCUGAGAAACGGCUGACAUUUCUACGGAAGGCAGCAGGCGUGAAAAUUACCCAAUCACAAUUCGUGGAGGUAGUUAAUAGACAUAACAGUCCCGGCCUUUUAGGUUUGGGAAUGUAAUGAGCUCAGUCUAGACAGCUGGGCGAAAUCCAUUGGAGGGCAAGUCUGGUGCCAGCAGCCGCGGUAAUUCCAGCUCCAAUAGCUUUGUUGAAAGUUGCUGCAGUUAAAAAGCUCGUAGUUGAAUAUCCGGCGUCUCUGACGUCUGCCCGACUCGGCUGUAGAUGCUGAAAGGCUUUUACUGAUCGAUCAGGCGUUUACUGUGAACAAAUUAGAGUGCUCAAAACAGGCCUUUGCUUGGAUUUUCUAGCGUGGAAUAAUAAAAUACGACUUCGCUCAUUUUAUUGGUUCUUGAACGAAGUAAUGGUUAACAGGAACAGUUGGGGGCAUUCGUACUUCAAAGUCAGAGGUGAAAUUCUUAGAUUUUUGAAAGACGAACUAAUGCGAAGGCAUUUGCCAAGGAUGUUUUCAUUAAUCAAGAACGAAAGCGUUGGGAUCAAAAAGGAUCAGAUACCCUUGUAGUCAACGCCGUAAACGAUACUGACUAGGGAUUGGUGAGGCACACCCUCAUCAGCACCUAAUGAGAAAUCAAAGUCUUUGAGUUCUGGGGAGAGUAUGGUCGCAAGGCUGAAACUUAAAGGAAUUGACGGAAAGAUACACAAGUCGUGGAUUCUGCGGCUUAAUUUGAUUCAACACGGGAAAACUUACGCAGGCAAAAAGCUAAAAGGAUUGACAGCUUGGUAGCACUUUCUUGAUAUGGCAGCGAGUGGUGCAUGGCCGUUCUUAGUUGGUGGAGUGAUUUGUCAGGUUAAUUCCCUUAACGAACGAGAUCUUCACUUGCUAACUAGUCGCAGCUAAAACCUAGCUGUAGACUUCUUAGAAGGACUACGAUUCUAAAAUCGUGGAAGUUGGAGGCAAUAACAGGUCCGUGAUGCCCUCAGAUGUUUGCGGCCGCACGCGUAAUACCAUGAUUGGCACAAUAAGUUCACCUAAUCCGAAAGGAGCUGGGUAAUCUUGAUAAUGCCAAUCGUGCUUGGGAUAGAACCUUGCAAUUGUGGUUCUUGAACGAGGAAUGACUAGUAAGCUGAAGUCACUAACCUCAGCUGAUUACUGUCCCUAUCUUUUGUACACACCGCCCGCCGCACCCAUCGAUUGAGUGUGUCGACGAGUUCUCCGGAUUGCGUCCCUUGGAUGUCGAAAAGUUGUUCAAGUUGAUACACUUAGAGAAGGGUUAAGGCGUAACAAGGUUUCUGUAGGAGAACCUGCAGAAGGAUCAUUAUCGCCAAUUAUACACCUGGGUUGGCUUCGGCCGGCCUGGAAAAACUUAAAAAAACUAACAAAAUGAAAAUUUUCAACGGUGGAUAUCUCGGUUCCCACAUCGAGGAAGAACGCAGCGAACUGCGAUACGCAAUGUGAAUUGCAGGACCCGCGAGUCAUCAGAUCUUUGAACGCAUUUAGCACGAGAGGGAGACUCCCACUCGUAUGUGUGUCUCAGUGUUGAACCUAUUACUCCAAGUGUGGUUGAACGACGUUCUCCCACGAAAUAGGAGCGGCCUGCGACCGGCCACGUGAAGUAGUCUCCGCUUCGGCGGCGAUCUCACGCGAACCGGUCGAGAGGUCGCAGAGCCCUCGCGCUUUGAAAAUAAAUUAAACCUGAGACAGGCAGGACUACCCGCUGAACUUAAGCAUAUCAGUAAGCGGAGGAAAAGAAACUAAC